UUAUAAAUUUGGCACUGUAGCGGAAGUCACUGUAGCAGAGCUACAGUAACUUAGGUGUCGGCAUAAUGACCACAGUUAAAAUCUUCGGAGCACUCGAAUUCAAUUUGAUUUUCUCCCAACGGUAAAAUAAAAGUUGUAUCUAAAUCUUAUCAUCUUCCUCUACUUCAUGUUGAUUGAAACUUCAGCAAAUCAGAGGAAAUGCUACACCAGUCCCAAAAGAAGAGCUUGAUGUCAAAGCAUAACUUGAUGAUGAUGAUAAGAGCACAAACCCAGCUGUAGCUGAUGCCAUGUUGCAUGUAGCUAUGGCCACUUCUCCUCCCCCUCUCUCUCUCUCUCUAACUUUGUUCUUUCUCUUUCUGUAUCUAUCUAUCUAUCUAUCUAUCUAUGAAGAUGUUGUGAAUAUCGUUUUAGAUGAUUCCCAAAAAAAAAAAAAAAAAAAAAAACUAAAAGGAUAAUAUUUACGGGACAGAUAUGUUUUUAUGGUUUGUGGAAGAAUUGGGAUGCUAUUAUUAUGGUUUGCAAGUUGUUAUGAACAUUCCUAAUAUGGUUAUUAAAUUUAUUUAUGGUUAGUAUUUUAACAA
This is a long non-coding RNA of Camellia sinensis, 581 nucleotides long. RefSeq lists it as uncharacterized. The record is from RefSeq and is a predicted model, not a curated record. Lineage: Eukaryota; Viridiplantae; Streptophyta; Magnoliopsida; Ericales; Theaceae.